GGGCUCGCAUCUGCUACACAUAUGCUAAAAUCAAAGCAAUAUAGAGAUUAGCACAGCCCCGCACAAGGAUGACAUACAAAUUCAUGAAGCAUUCCAUAUUUCA
This 103-nucleotide small nuclear RNA is filed under the name Microcebus murinus (gray mouse lemur). Lineage: Eukaryota; Metazoa; Chordata; Mammalia; Primates; Cheirogaleidae. The record is from RNAcentral.